This 883-nucleotide ribosomal RNA is filed under the name Gigaspora margarita. Its description in RNAcentral is "partial 28S ribosomal RNA". It matches the Rfam family "Eukaryotic large subunit ribosomal RNA", at positions 1 to 801 of the family's 3401-position model. The record is from RNAcentral. Lineage: Eukaryota; Fungi; Glomeromycota; Glomeromycetes; Diversisporales; Gigasporaceae.
ACCUCAAGUCAUGUGAGAUUACCCGCUGAACUUAAGCAUAUCAAUAAGCGGAGGAAAAGAAACUAACAAGGAUUCCCCUAGUAACGGCGAGUGAAGCGGGAAGAGCACAAAUUUAAAAUCUACCUGGUUUUCAGGUCGAGUUGUAAUUUGAAGAUACGUUUUUGAUGUUCCAGGUUGGACUAAAUCCUUUGGGAUAAGGUAUCAUAGAGGGUGAGAAUCCCGUAUAUACCAACCGUAGGGAUGUUAUUAAAUACGUUUCUAAGAGUCGAGUUGUUUGGGAAUGCAGCUCUAAAUGGGUGGUAAAUUUCACCUAAUGCUAAAUAUAAGCGAGAGACCGAUAGCGAACAAGUACAGUGAUGGAAAGAUGAAAAGAACUUUGAAAAGAGAGUUAAAUAGUACGUGAAAUUGUUGAAAGGGAAACGAUUGAAGUCAGUCAUGCCGGUGGGAAUCAACUUAGGGGAAACUCUAGGUGCACUUCUUCGCUUGGCAGGUCAACGUCGAUUUUGAAUGUCAUAAAAUAAUUGGGGGAAGGUAGCUCCUUCGGGAGUGUUAUAGCCUUUGAUAGAUGUGAUGUUUGGGGUCGAGGAUUGCAACGAAUACCCUUUGGGGCUAGCCGCCUGAUCUCUAAUCGGUGUUGGGUUAUGGAUAGCAUGCUGACCGUGAUCUAAUUACUGGUUAAAAGGUUAGAGCGUGCAUAAAUUCGUUAAGGACGUUGACGUAAUGGCUUUAAACGACCCGUCUUGAAACACGGACCAAGGAGUCUAACAUGUAUGCGAGUGUUAGGGUAUUAAACCCAGACGCGAAAUGAAAGUGAGUGUAGGUGGGAUCCUUUAUWRARCACCAUCGACCGAUCUUGAGAUUUANNNNNNNNNNNNNNNNGAGC